Molecule: long non-coding RNA, 340 nt
Organism: Ictalurus punctatus (channel catfish)
Lineage: Eukaryota; Metazoa; Chordata; Actinopteri; Siluriformes; Ictaluridae
Source: Ensembl
CAGGCAUUUACCACAGCCUUUUUCAGUUGAUGUUUGUUUCGGGAAAGUUCUCCUUAGAGUCUCCUCUUCAAAAGCUUCAAGGAUUGAUUUUCUCCCAAAGACAGCUCUCUGAUCUUCAUGUUGGCUUAUCCUUUUUUAACAACAAACGCAGUCAGUCUUCACAGACAUCAACGGGGCUAAUAAGCUGAAUGUGUACACAGAGAGAAAGGAGGAGGGAGUUUAAUCCAUCAGCGUAACCACAUAAAGAGGUCAGAGCAUGGAGAAAUUUGAACUGAAGAUGAUACACAACCACAUAAAAGCACUGAAAUGCAAAUACUUAGUAGGAACAGCAUGUACUGGA